This 668-nucleotide ribosomal RNA is filed under the name Anthocharis cardamines (orange tip). RNAcentral's name for it is "partial 16S ribosomal RNA". The record is from RNAcentral. Lineage: Eukaryota; Metazoa; Arthropoda; Insecta; Lepidoptera; Pieridae.
UAAGAGUUAAAUUAAUAUAAUAUAAAUAAAAAAAAAAUUUUUAAAAUAAAAAUAUUUAAUGGGGGUUAAAGUAUUUUAAAUAGAAAAAAUUUUAUUAUUUAUAGGGGAUUAGUAUUGUAAAAGAAUUUUGAAAAAUAUGAAAUAAUAAUUUUUAAAAAAGUAAAUUUAAUUUAUUGUAUCUUGUGUAUCAGAGUUUAUUAAAUAAAAGUUUUUAGGUUAAAAAUAUCUCGAAUUUAAAAGAGUUAAUUAAUUAAUAAAGUUAAUGUUGCAUAAUUAUUUUUUAUAAUUAAUUGGAAAUGAAAUGUUAAUCGUUUUUAAAAAUAUCUAGUUUUUUUAGAAAAAAAUUUAAUUUUAAAUUAAAUUUUAUAAUUUUUUUUUAAUUAAUUAAAAAAAAUUAAUUUUAAUUUAAUAUUUUAGGGGAUAAGCUUUAAAUUAAAAUUUUAUAAUAAAAUUAUUUAAUAUUUGAAAUUUUUAAAAUUUAUAUUUUUUAUAAAUUAUAAUUUUUUAUAAAUAAUUUCAUUUAUUUAAAAUUUAAAUAAAAUUAUUUAAAUUUUUAUAAAAAAAUAAUUUUUAAUAAAAUAAAAUUAGAAAUAAUGAUAAAAUUAGUAAAAUAUUUAAUAAAUAAAAUAAAAUUAUAUUAAGGUAAUUAAAAGGAAUUCGGCAAAAAU